This 500-nucleotide ribosomal RNA is filed under the name uncultured bacterium. Its description in RNAcentral is "partial 16S ribosomal RNA". It matches the Rfam family "Bacterial small subunit ribosomal RNA", at positions 30 to 523 of the family's 1533-position model. The record is from RNAcentral.
AUUGAACGCUGGCGGCAUGCCUUACACAUGCAAGUCGAACGGCAGCGGGGACUUCGGUCCGCCGGCGAGUGGCGAACGGGUGAGUAAUGUAUCGGAACGUACCUUUCAGUGGGGGAUAACGUAGCGAAAGUUACGCUAAUACCGCAUAUUCUGUGAGCAGGAAAGCAGGGGAUCGCAAGACCUUGCGCUGAUUGAGCGGCCGAUAUCAGAUUAGCUAGUUGGUGAGGUAAAGGCUCACCAAGGCUACGAUCUGUAGCGGGUCUGAGAGGAUGAUCCGCCACCCUGGGACUGAGACACGGCCCAGACUCCUACGGGAGGCAGCAGUGGGGAAUUUUGGACAAUGGGCGAAAGCCUGAUCCAGCCAUGCCGCGUGAGUGAAGAAGGCCUUCGGGUUGUAAAGCUCUUUCGGCCGGGAAGAAAUCGCAUCAGCUAAUACCUGGUGUGGAUGACGGUACCGGAAUAAGAAGCACCGGCUAACUACGUGCCAGCAGCCGCCGUAA